RNAcentral lists this ribosomal RNA (443 nucleotides) under uncultured bacterium. RNAcentral's name for it is "partial 16S ribosomal RNA". It matches the Rfam family "Bacterial small subunit ribosomal RNA", at positions 338 to 795 of the family's 1533-position model. The record is from RNAcentral.
CCUACGGGGAGCUGCAGUGGGGGCUAUUGGACAAUGGGGGGAACCCUGAUCCAGCGACGCCGCGUGAGUGAAGAAGUAUUUCGGUAUGUACAGCUCUGUCAGCAGGGAAGAAAGAAAUGACGGUACCUGACCAAGAAGCCCCGGCUAACUACGUGCCAGCAGCCGCGGUAAUACGUAGGGGGCAAGCGUUAUCCGGAAUUACUGGGUGUAAAGGGAGAGUAGACGGUUAAGUAAGUCUGGAGUGAAAGGCCGGGGACCAACCCCGGGACUGCUCUGGAAACUAUUGAACUUGAGUGCAGGAGAGGUAAGCGGAAUGUCUAGUGUAGCGGUGAAAUGCGGAGAUAUUAGGAGGAACACCAGUGGCGAAGGCGGCUUACUGGACUGUAACUGACGUUGAGGCUCGAAAGCGUGGGGAGCAAACAGGAUUAGAUACCCUUGUAGUC